RNAcentral lists this ribosomal RNA (447 nucleotides) under uncultured bacterium. RNAcentral describes it as "partial 16S ribosomal RNA". It matches the Rfam family "Bacterial small subunit ribosomal RNA", at positions 331 to 792 of the family's 1533-position model. The record is from RNAcentral.
CCAGACUCCUACGGGAGGCAGCAGUGAGGAAUAUUGGGCAAUGGGCGCAAGCCUGACCCAGCAACGCCGCGUGAAGGAAGAAGGCUUUCGGGUUGUAAACUUCUUUUCUCAGGGACGAAGCAAGUGACGGUACCUGAGGAAUAAGCCACGGCUAACUACGUGCCAGCAGCCGCGGUAAUACGUAGGUGGCAAGCGUUAUCCGGAUUUACUGGGUGUAAAGGGCAUGUAGGCGGGACUGCAAGUCAGAUGUGAAAACCACGGGCUCAACCUGAGGCCUGCAUUUGAAACUGUAGUUCUUGAGUACUGAAGAGGCAGACGAAAUUCCUAGUGUAGCGGUGAAAUGCGUAGAUAUUAGGAGGAACACCAGUGGCGAAGGCGGUCUGCUGGACAGCAACUGACGCUGAGGCGCGAAAGCGUGGGGAGCAGACAGGAGUAGAUACCCCCGUA